ACUCCCGCCGUUUACCCAGGCCGGGACCCACCCCGAUGUGAGUCCCACCUCCAUGGCUCCCUACCUUAAGAGAGUCAUGCUUAGUCCUGCCGCCGUUGAGCCAGGCCUGGGGACAACCCUGGGCGGUUGCCCCGGUUUUUUGCGCCCCUGGACUUCCUCUGACUUUGUUUCUUCCCGGGUGGGAAGGAAGGUGGAGUAAGACGCCUUACGUCCCCGACAAAAGCUUGGAUCGAGGGGUGACUUUCAAUAGAUCGCAGCGAGUGAGCUGCUCUGCUACGUACGAAACCCUGACCCAGAAUCAGGUCGUCUACGAGUGAUUUAGCACCAGGUUCCCCACAAACAUGCUGUGCGCAUCAGGAGAGGGGCGACCAUCAUCCGGCCGCACCCCGACCCUGUCACGAACGGCCCUGCGCACCGACCGAAGCCGGCUAUCCUUGGCCAACCGGAGAUCCGCGGCGCUACGGUAUCAUUACGUUUAGGGGGGAUUCUGACUUAGAGGCGUUCAGUCAUAAUCCCACAGAUGGUAGCUUCGCACCAUUGGCUCCUCAGCCAAGCACAUACA
Hypomesus transpacificus is the source of this 562-nucleotide long non-coding RNA. RefSeq lists it as uncharacterized. The transcript is spliced from 2 exons. Lineage: Eukaryota; Metazoa; Chordata; Actinopteri; Osmeriformes; Osmeridae. The record is from RefSeq and is a predicted model, not a curated record.